RNAcentral lists this ribosomal RNA (463 nucleotides) under uncultured Thiobacillus sp. RNAcentral describes it as "bacterial SSU rRNA". It matches the Rfam family "Bacterial small subunit ribosomal RNA", at positions 916 to 1381 of the family's 1533-position model. The record is from RNAcentral. Lineage: Bacteria; Pseudomonadati; Pseudomonadota; Betaproteobacteria; Nitrosomonadales; Thiobacillaceae.
CGGGACCCGCACAAGCGGUGGAUGAUGUGGAUUAAUUCGAUGCAACGCGAAGAACCUUACCUACCCUUGACAUGUCCGGAACUUGCCAGAGAUGGCUUGGUGCCCGAAAGGGAAUCGGAACACAGGUGCUGCAUGGCUGUCGUCAGCUCGUGUCGUGAGAUGUUGGGUUAAGUCCCGCAACGAGCGCAACCCUUAUCAUUAGUUGCUACGCAAGGGCACUCUAAUGAGACUGCCGGUGACAAACCGGAGGAAGGUGGGGAUGACGUCAAGUCCUCAUGGCCCUUAUGGGUAGGGCUUCACACGUCAUACAAUGGUCGGUACAGAGGGUUGCCAAGCCGCGAGGCGGAGCCAAUCCCACAAAGCCGAUCGUAGUCCGGAUUGUUCUCUGCAACUCGAGAGCAUGAAGUCGGAAUCGCUAGUAAUCGCAGAUCAGCACGCUGCGGUGAAUACGUUCCCGGGCCUU